GAUGAACGCUAGCGGGAGGCCUAACACAUGCAAGCCGAGCGGUAGAGUCUCUUCGGAGACUUGAGAGCGGCGCACGGGUGCGGAACACGUGUGCAACCUGCCUUUAUCUGGGGGAUAGCCUUUCGAAGGGAAGAUUAAUACCCCAUAAUAUACUGGAUGGCAUCAUCUGGUAUUGAAAACUCCGGUGGAUAGAGAUGGGCACGCGCAAGAUUAGAUAGUUGGUGAGGUAACGGCUCACCAAGUCAGCGAUCUUUAUGGGGCCUGAGAGGGUGAUCCCCCACACUGGUACUGAGACACGGACCAGACUCCUACGGGAGGCAGCAGUGAGGAAUAUUGGACAAUGGGUGAGAGCCUGAUCCAGCCAUCCCGCGUGAAGGACGACGGCCCUAUGGGUUGUAAACUUCUUUUGUAUAGGGAUAAACCUAGAUACGUGUAUCUAGCUGAAGGUACUAUACGAAUAAGCACCGGCUAACUCCGUG
This 479-nucleotide ribosomal RNA is filed under the name uncultured bacterium. RNAcentral's name for it is "partial 16S ribosomal RNA". It matches the Rfam family "Bacterial small subunit ribosomal RNA", at positions 28 to 507 of the family's 1533-position model. The record is from RNAcentral.